Long non-coding RNA from Humulus lupulus (European hop), 451 nucleotides. RefSeq lists it as uncharacterized. The record is from RefSeq and is a predicted model, not a curated record. The transcript has 3 exons. NCBI's taxonomy places the organism in Eukaryota, Viridiplantae, Streptophyta, Magnoliopsida, Rosales, Cannabaceae.
CCCAAGCUUAUAGAUUAUUUCAAAAGGCAUUCUAAUGAGUUUGCUUGCCACAAGCGGGUUGAUCAUCCAAUUAUCGAUCAGAGUUUCUUUCUUGACACCACUCACAAAAUGAGGCUUAAGGAGGAGUUUGAGAUUGAACCUUGGACUUUCAUGCAACAUGUAGGAGAAGUUGUUAUCAUUCCUGCUGGAUGUCCCUACCAGAUUAAGAGCCCUAAGGUCAUUUUUGCAACAGUAUUGACAGUCUGAAUUAAGAAAGAUAUAUGAAACAUUAUUUUUAUUCUCCAUGAGUAAAAGUUAUAUCUUAUAAGUUCCCUCUUGCUGCUUAUAACUGAUUAAUAUUUCCCCAUUAAAUGAGAGAAUAUGAUUUAGAUUUUCUAUUUUAUAUAUUAAUCUGCCUCAAGUUGGCUUGAAUUAUCUAUAAUAUUUAUGCAUUUUUGUUCUGAUUCUCUGA